GGUUACUGUUUUAUGUCACAUCA
This 23-nucleotide microRNA is filed under the name Eisenia fetida (common brandling worm). RNAcentral's name for it is "Efe-Mir-210-P6_5p* (star (passenger))". The record is from RNAcentral. Lineage: Eukaryota; Metazoa; Annelida; Clitellata; Crassiclitellata; Lumbricidae.